This 377-nucleotide ribosomal RNA is filed under the name uncultured bacterium. RNAcentral describes it as "bacterial SSU rRNA". It matches the Rfam family "Bacterial small subunit ribosomal RNA", at positions 362 to 758 of the family's 1533-position model. The record is from RNAcentral.
UAUUGGACAAUGGGCGAAAGCCUGAUCCAGCAAUGCCGCGUGAGUGAUGAAGGCCUUAGGGUUGUAAAGCUCUUUUACCAGGGAUGAUAAUGACAGUACCUGGAGAAUAAGCUCCGGCUAACUCCGUGCCAGCAGCCGCGGUAAUACGGAGGGAGCUAGCGUUGUUCGGAAUUACUGGGCGUAAAGCGUGCGUAGGCGGUGACUCAAGUCAGAGGUGAAAGCCUGGAGCUCAACUCCAGAACUGCCUUUGAAACUAGGUCGCUAGAAUCUGGGAGAGGUGAGUGGAAUUCCGAGUGUAGAGGUGAAAUUCGUAGAUAUUCGGAAGAACACCAGUGGCGAAGGCGGCUCACUGGCCAGAAUUGACGCGAGGCACGAAA